Armigeres subalbatus is the source of this 613-nucleotide long non-coding RNA. RefSeq lists it as uncharacterized. The record is from RefSeq and is a predicted model, not a curated record. The transcript is spliced from 3 exons. NCBI's taxonomy places the organism in Eukaryota, Metazoa, Arthropoda, Insecta, Diptera, Culicidae.
GAUAAAUGUACUGUACGAUCAAGGUAUACUGUGGUGUCGAACAGUAGGAAAAUGUAUAUAACAGUUCGGUCUGAAUAUAAGGAAUAAAACGACGUCGAAUCACUUUGGUUCUGACCCUGAACAAAUCAAGAUCGUUUCUGUGCCUUCAACCCAACCGAAACAUAAACCCUUAUUUAAAGCUAUUAGAGCUUUGAGUGAUUCAAUUCAUCCGUACACGUGCUGUGGUGAUACUAGCCGAAAUCGACGAUAGAAACCUAAUAAAGUGACCGAAGUUCCAUCCACCAAAACCAGCUAGUGCUCCCGUCAGCUGGAAAUAUUCCUGGUGGAUUUCUGGCGGUUUACAUCGUUUUCGUACACGCUGGGGUGAAAUCAAUCUACGAGUGGAAGGACGACUACCUACUAACGAAGAGAACGAGGUAACCGGUCGGCAAAGGUCAGACACUAUCGGAACGUCGGCGAAGGUCGGACGCUAUCAUUGGAAGGUUAGGAUUAUCAUUGGAAACGCGCCAAUCAUGGCCCAUCGGGACCAGCUCAAAAUGAGUAAAAGCAAGCCGCAAUCCAACGUAGUCAUCUCAAUGAGUAGUUCAGAGGUGUCGCCAAUGGGCGACACAAG